GACGAACGCUGGCGGCGUGCUUAACACAUGCAAGUCGAACGAAGAGCGACGGAAGCUUGCUUCUAUCAAUCUUAGUGGCGAACGGGUGAGUAACGCGUAAUCAACCUGCCCUUCAGAGGGGGACAACAGUUGGAAACGACUGCUAAUACCGCAUACGAUCUAACCUCGGCAUCGAGGAUAGAUGAAAGGUGGCCUCUACAUGUAAGCUAUCACUGAAGGAGGGGAUUGCGUCUGAUUAGCUAGUUGGAGGGGUAACGGCCAACCAAGGCGAUGAUCAGUAGCCGGUCUGAGAGGAUGAACGGCCACAUUGGGACUGAGACACGGCCCAGACUCCUACGGGAGGCAGCAGUGGGGAAUCUUCCGCAAUGGACGAAAGUCUGACGGAGCAACGCCGCGUGAGUGAUGACGGCCUUCGGGUUGUAAAGCUCUGUUAAUCGGGACGAAAGGCCUUCUUGCGAAUAGGGAGAAGGAUUGACGGUACCGGAAUAGAAAGCCACGGCUAACUACGUG
RNAcentral lists this ribosomal RNA (510 nucleotides) under uncultured bacterium. RNAcentral's name for it is "partial 16S ribosomal RNA". It matches the Rfam family "Bacterial small subunit ribosomal RNA", at positions 28 to 507 of the family's 1533-position model. The record is from RNAcentral.